CCCUUAUGCCUUGGGCUACACACGUGCUACAAUGGGGUGCAACAAAGAGUCGCUAAAUCGCGAGAUGGAGCUAAUCUCAUCAAACCACCCCCCAGUUCGGAUUGCAGGCUGCAACUCGCCUGCAUGAAGCCGGAAUCGCUAGUAAACGCGCGUCAGCCAUAGUGCGUUGAAUACGUUCUCGGGUUUUGUACACACCGCCCGUCACGCCAAGAGAGUCGAUAAUACCCGAAGGCGCUUGAAGCGUCCGAAGGUAGGAUCGAUGAUAGGGGCGAAGUCGUAACAAGGCAGCCGUAGCGGAAGCUGUGGCUGGAUCACCUCCUUUCUAGGGAGUAA
RNAcentral lists this ribosomal RNA (333 nucleotides) under Candidatus Berkelbacteria bacterium. RNAcentral's name for it is "bacterial SSU rRNA". It matches the Rfam family "Bacterial small subunit ribosomal RNA", at positions 1199 to 1533 of the family's 1533-position model. Lineage: Bacteria; Candidatus Berkelbacteria. The record is from RNAcentral.